RNAcentral lists this ribosomal RNA (45 nucleotides) under uncultured Prochlorococcus sp. RNAcentral describes it as "partial 23S ribosomal RNA". Lineage: Bacteria; Bacillati; Cyanobacteriota; Cyanophyceae; Synechococcales; Prochlorococcaceae. The record is from RNAcentral.
GGUCAAGCUACAAAGGGCUCAUGGCGGAUACCUUGGCACGCAGAG